RNAcentral lists this long non-coding RNA (17622 nucleotides) under Capsicum annuum. RNAcentral describes it as "long non-coding RNA (CANN_LNC003766)". The record is from RNAcentral. Lineage: Eukaryota; Viridiplantae; Streptophyta; Magnoliopsida; Solanales; Solanaceae.
CCCAGCUUACUCCAACGGACAGAGAAACCAGAGUCCUGAGGUAUAGAGAAAAGAAGAAGAAUCGCAAAUUUGAGAAAACCAUAAGGUAUGCUUCAAGAAAAGCCUAUGCAGAAACAAGGCCAAGAAUCAAAGGUCGAUUCGCAAAGAGAACAGACGUAGAGGCUGAAGUAGACCAGAUGUUCUCCACACAAUUAAUGGCAGAUACCAGUUAUGGAAUUGUCCCUUCAUUCUGAAUGCAACCAAGAGAAGAUCAGCUACAAGUCCCUAAACCUUAGUAUUAAUAUUGUAUCUCUUACAUCAUUAUUGAUCUAACUAGGUAUUGAAUAAUGAGAAAUGUACUACAGUAGUUCUCCGCAAAGGAUUUAUUAAAUUCUCUUCAUUGUUGUAUAUGUAAAAAGAGUUCUUCCUUGUAGACCGUGUUGCAGUCAAUACGUACAAUUUUUCUGGGGAAGUAAAAAAAGCCCCUCCGGUGUAGAGGGAUUGACCCAACAAGACAAAAAGUACUAGUUCUGCAAGAAGCAAAAAAAUUGACUGAAGUAUCAGGAGCGUGAAAAACCUUAACCAGAGGUCUCACGUUAAUGGAAAACCUUUUAUUACGAAACAGUUACCUCCUUAGUGGACCUACCAGACACAUAUAUAGAUACUGGAUGCCUAAAAGGAAAAAGAAAAGAGAAAGGAAGAAUCGACUGCAGUUAACUUUUUCACAUCAAAAAAGAACUCAGUGCAGCCACAAGUAACGAGAAAAGCGCUAUUACCGACGACCUCUGGAUGCUCAGUGGUAUGACAUUGUGUGCUGGUGCAAUAUGAUUGAAGCUCAGUUUUGCUUUCUGCUUUCCACUGUCAUCUUUUUGUUUGAACAUACUCUUUAGGAAUGACACAUAAUAUUCUUCAAUAGCUGCUUUUGGUCCAGAUUCUCCUUCAGUAUAAUGAAUGUUCCAUCCACUUCUCCAAGGAAAGCACUGAUGCAAUAUUUUUGCAGAAAAUGAUACUCCAUAAGCACCUCAUAAGCAAAAUACUGCUAUGAUCAUCAAAAGUUUUAGUUGUAAUGCCAGAAUCAAGGUGCACAAUAUCCCUAAAACAGCUAAAAUACGGCUUGUAAUUUGUAAUAAGCAAGGAAAUAGGUAACUUCCUCAAGAAAUAGAAGAUGCACUUGGUCAGAUUUGGAAAGAAAUUACAGGCGGAAUAAGUAAGGGGAAGGACAUCAGAUAGAUGGAUAAAACUAUGAGUAAGCUGAUACAAUCUCUAAGACCAAUCAUCUGUAUUUUACCUUCACCUUUAUUGAAACUUUAGUGGAAAGUGCAUCAAGUCAAUCAACUACUAAAGUGAUCCUCCUAUCUUGGAAUCUAAAGUGUUCUAUGUUUCAUCUAUUUUUUAAUUGUUUAUAUGGUAUAAUAAACUUAAAACACUUGGCAGUAAGAACAUUACUGGAUUCCACUAGGCUCUAGUUCCUUAAACAAAAUGUUGUCGUCAAAAGCAAAAGGGAAGAAAAGUAACCAGGGUAUGUUUGGGUUUUAAGAGCAACGUACAACUAAAAAGCACGCGUUAAUGAAGGAGAUGAAGAUGAAGAAGUAGAUUUAAAAAUACACGCAAACAAGCAAUUAUAUGGACAAAGGAAUUGAGAAUAAAAUUGCAAGAGAAACAUAAUAAAGACAUGUCAAUCAAGUUCAAAAUCAUUUUAAAAUUUUUUAUUGUGUUGCAAAGCGGCAAAAUUUAAGUUUCUAAUUCAAUUUAAUUGACUAAUUUUCUAUGAUAAUUAUUUUAUUGACUAUUUUGAUCUGCUGUCUCUGACUAACUGUUUUUAAUCACAAUAUUUUUCCAUAAUGUUUUCUUAACAAGUGAUAUAUCACUUUGCUUUAUAAUCAUUUUUUAGCUUGCCCACUUCAACGUAAAACUUACAGGCAUUAUAAAUUACUUAAAACUUAUUAAGAAGCAAUUAAAUGGCUGUCUUUCUAAGGCACACAACUUACACUGCCUAAGCAACACAGAGCACCAAGCCUGCAAUGCAUCUAGCUUCGAGGUUUAUGCAUGCCUCAUGAGAGCUUUUAACAAACUGCCACAUAAUCCAACACCACCCUGGUAUUAACAAGUUCCCGCAGCUAGUUCCAUCGCAGAAUCUACAGAAUACUUUUGUUUAACAGAAAUCAAAAGGAAAAAGGUGUUUAUACAACUGCUUUACAAACAAGCCCCAAAAUAUGUAGCUUCUACAUCAAGCAGACAUGACUUAUUUGGCCCAGUUAUUUCUGCACUACUCUAUUUACUACCAAAACAGUUUACCAAUAAAAAAUAUCAAUAAAGAUAAUUGCUAAUCUCGUCAUACUUGUUUGUAGGCUCAAAAUUUGAUAAUCUAUCUUUAGCAACCCCUGUGAUCUAAUUCAUUGGAUUUCCAAUCAAACUAAACAGUGAAGCACAAGACGAGGAGGUAUUCCAUGGCCUCAACAGUUUAAAUAAUCAAAAGACAAUGUGAUCCAAUUCAUUGUAUUUUCACCAUCUGUUCUAACCUUGGUGGACAGAGUUACCAGGUACAUAUUACUGGUGGGAGGUGGCAGGUAUCCCAUGAAAUUAGUCGAGAUGCGCGCAAGAUGGCCCAGACACCAAGGUUAUCCAAAAAAAAAGUCCUUUUAUCAGUCUUAAACAGAAGGAAAGCAUAUAGCACUUUUACCUUUAUUAAUGUGAAAUAUUCACUGAAACCAUAAGAAGGCAAGUUCCAGCUUAUCGAGGAAUAAGAGAAAAGUUUAAAGAGGUAAGAACUUUGUGGCUAAGAAAUUUUAUCCAAGAAUGGCUUGGACGCUCACUUUUAGGUCCUUUUUUGAUCAUUGGGUACUUUUAGUAUCCAAUUCUGCACUGCUAUUUGUUGAGCAGAAGAACCUUUAUCCACCUCGCAACUCACUAGCAAAGAAAAAGAAUACUUAUCAAUGUGUCACGACAAAUAUUAUUUGGGUCAGUUAUUUCUGCACUAUUCUAUUUACCAAAACAGUUUACCACUAAGAAAUACCAUCAAUAACGAUAAUUGCUGAUAUCUUCAUACUUGUCUGCACGGCUAAUAGGUUGCUUAUCUAUCUUUAGCAAUCCAUGUGAUCCAGUUCACUGGAUUUCCAGUCACAGUAAAUCAUGAAACAUAAUACGAGGAGGUAUUCCAUGGUCUCAAUAGCAUUAGUAAUCAAAACGCGUCCUUUUAUUAGUCUUGAGCUGAUACCAGGUUUUCAACAUAUGCAAUAGAUUGAAUACGAUGCAGAAGGAAAACAUAUUGCACUUUUACCUUUUUUGAUGUGAAGCAGUCAUUGAAAAAUUAACUUUUUUGAUGUGAAGCAGUCAUUGAAAAAUUAACGUUCCGGCUUAUUGAGGAAUAAGAUGAAAGUGUAAGGAGGUAAAAACUUUGUGGCUAAGGAAUUUCAUCCAAGAUUGCCUUAGACGUUCACUUUUAGGUCCUUUUUGGUAAUUGGGUACUUUUAGUAUCCAAUUCUGCACUGCUAUUCGUUGAGUAGAAGAACCUUUAACCACCUCACAACUCACUAGCAAGGAAAAGGAAUAAUCAUCAAUGUGUCACGGCCAAUAUUAUUCCCUCCCAGAGAAACGGACAAACAACUUAGAUUGUUUUGAGUUAUUCCUGAGCCUUUCAAGUUGGAUCAGGUCCCUCCGAUUCCGUGGUUACUUUAGCUAUCUAUUUCUGCGAUGCCAUUUGCUGAACAUCAGCACUUUUUCCCCAGCUCAUAAAAGCCAAGCAAUCCACCAUGGAGCAAUUCUAGUUAUUCUAAUGCAAUAAAAUUAUUAAAGCAACAAAACAACCGUAAGCGGUUUCCUAAUUCAAUUUGAAAACAUCAAACUGCAUUGCUGGUUGAUUCCACAACAAAAUCCAGAUAUAGUAAUCUUAUUUCUUCUGUGAACAACUAAUUUCGUGCAAGAUUUCUGCUUGAGAUUAUAUCAUAUAUACACACAAAAAAAAAAAUGAUGUUCAAAAUGCUCAACUUAGUGGCUCAGCUAGGAUUUAAGAAGAAAUAAAUACACAAGGAAGCCAAGGAAUUCAACAUCCACUAUAUAUACAUAAAAAAAUAAUUUAACCUUGUAUAUACAAUGUAAUUUUUCCACCGAAGGAGCUCGAUUCCCUCGCUACUUCCCACCAGCACGGACGUCAAAAUUAUUCACCCAUCAAGAUUUAAGAAAAUUGGAAAAUUUUGUGUAAUGGCGUCUCUGCUGGAAUUUGAACCUUCGUUCCCAAGGUUGUUAUCCCAACUCUUCAACUUAUCUAAAGAUAAUUUUAUUGGUCGCUGUUUAACGUAUAAAGUUAAGUUAUGACCAAAUAAUCCCACACAUAAGGCUUAAGCAAGAAUUCAAUAAAAACACCUCAUUUUAGAUAGUAUCAGUUGAGGGUCAUAGUUUGCACCUGGAAGAUAAACGUGCAAGCCGUUAACGUAGAAGUCUGUCGUCCAGGAUAACUGAACCUGCAUCGGUGAAAUGCAGUACCCCCGGCAAAAGGGACCACUAUUCUUAGAUAUGGUUUAAAAGACAGUAGCACUUUACUUUAUACUUUUGUGGAUCAAGAGUCUUAAGAAAAAGGGAAAAGAGUAGAUUCUAUCUCAGCAAGAACAUUGGAGUUAUCCUGGACCUGCAGUUAUGUUCCACAGAAGUAACCAGAGUAUGGCUAAGCCUCAAGUUUGAGGUCCCUCCUAUUCAUGGGUACUUUACGUAUCUAUUUCUUCUCUGACAUUUGUUGAGCCUCAGCACUUUUUUGACAGCUCUUAAAUGCCAAGCAAUCCACCAUGGAGCAAUUCUUCUGAUUCCUAUGCUUAUAACUUAGUAUUUUUGGAGGUAAAGUCCUGAGAAAAAGUGAAAAGAGUAGGUUACACAUAAGUCACCUGAGCACAGCUAAGCCUUUCAAGUUUGAGGUCCCUCAGAUUCCAAUGGAACUUUAGCUAUCUAUUUCUGCUCUGCCAUUUGUUGCGCCUCACCACUUUUUCCAUAGUUCAUAAAUGCCAAGCCAUCCACCAUGGAGCAAUUCUUGUGAUUUACUUAUAACAAAUUAUUAACUAAAACAAAACAAUUUUCAGUGAUUUUCUAAUUAAAUGUGAAAAUAUCAAAUUUCCUUGCUGGUUGACUACACAGCAAUGUCCAGAUACAACAAUCUUAUUGUUGUCAGUGAACAACUAAAUUUUGUGCUAGUUUACUAGUCGCAAUUGUGCUUUAUGUGGUGAUGCCAGGCUACGCAACUUGAUUAAGUCACCAGGUGCCUGUUAUGUCCAACCAGCACAAGUAUCAGACAUUUUUUUCUACAGAGAUUUAGGGAGAUGCGAAAAAAUCACGUACUGCCACCUCUGUUAGGAUUUGUACCUUGGUACCCAAGGUUGUUAUUCCAACUCCUCGACAGUAAGGGACACAAGCAAAUCAAAUUGACUAAAGAUGAUUUUACCGUCCAUUAAUUUUCAUAAUCUGUGAACGAAGGAAGUGCACACAUAGGCGUAGGCAAGAUUUUAAUAAAAUGUUUCAUCUUAGAUUGUAUCAGUUGACUGUCGAAUGCAUUCAGAGGCCAAUGCAGACCAAUAUAUUAAAGCAUAUAGUUAAAAGACAAUGUAGAGUUUGUAAACUUCUGUGGGUGAAGAGUCCUACCAUAAAGGUGAAAAGAGUAGAUUCUACCUCAGCAAGAACAUUGAAAUUGUGGACCUGUAUGUCCCACAGAAGUCACCAGAGCCUUGCUAAGCCUUUCAAGUUUGAGGUCCCUCUUGAUCCAUGGCACUUUAGUACCUAUUUCUUCUCUUCCAUUCGAUGAAUGCCUGAAACUCAGCACUUUUUACACAGCUCAUAAAUUCCUUAGGACUUUAUGUAUCUAUUUCUGCAAUGCUAUUUGCUUUACAUCAUUACUUUUUUGAUCUGGUUGACAGCCACACGACAAAGAUUCUUUCAUGCCAUAUCAUCGAUUUUAUCCAACAGUAGCAUUAAGAGGUAAAAUUGACUAAGCAUUUCAAAUUUAUUGUAUAUGUGUAUUUAGUAACAAAAUUUUGACAAAUCGGUGUCGGAUGACACUGCUCUACCUAAUAUGCAUUUGGCCCUUUAUAUAUAUCAUUUCUAAAAAUAUGUGUACCCAUAGUAAACUUGUAUUCUUUAUCAAAAGAAAACAUAUUCAGCAUAAGAACUAAAUCCUGGAAACCAUCACGUAUCAAAUUCAGGUACACUUAUAAGUUAAACCCUAACAGUAGCUGUUAGUAACAUAUGUUCAAAACAGUAAACCAAAAUAUACGAAAUAAUCUGAAAAGCAAUUUAAUGAAAAAUACAGAACUGUAAUUAUUGAGCCCACAAUAUUCAUGGUGUAUACUUAAGGAAUUUAGUCCCCUCAUUGUACCUGAGGUGUUGGAGUAGUGGUAUCUCAAAUGCCAAUAACUUCAUAGAACUUGAAGAUGGACAUGAACCACACAAAGGCUCAAUUUUGUUUGUAAGAAAAUAAGUAGAAGUGCAGAAAUUCAAUGUCCAUAACUGGGGCUAGUCCUUUGAAUUUAUUGCCAACGAAGGGUAUUGUUAACAAGUGCUAUUGUGCCUUAUCGGAAAAGUCACAACCUAUUCAAUGUGAAAAGAUCGUUCAUUGUGUAUCAUUAAGAUAUUUAAUCCCCUCAUUGUACCUGAGGUGUUGGAGUAGCGGUAUCUCAAAUCCCAAUAACUUCGUCGAACUUGAAGAUAGUCAUGAACCACACAAAGGCUCAAUUUUGUUUGUCAGAAAAUAUGUAGAAGUGCAGAAAUUCAUGUCCAUAACUGGGGCUAGUCCUCUGAAUUUAUUGCCAGCGAAGGGUAGUAUGAACAAGUGCUAUUGUGCCUUAUCGGAAAAAUCACAACCUAUUCAAUGUGAAAAGACAGCUCAAAUUGCAUUAUUUCUCCUUGAGUCUCUUCAGGGAAACACCUCUUCAUUUCUCAUUCAUGCUACAAAAAACCCAACAAUAGACCGAUACUAUUUAUAUAGAAUCUUGUAUAUGCCAUUGUGCAAUUUGCACCGAUUUAACUUCAAUACUUACAGUGACUAGGGGUUGGUAUUGUACGUCAGAUAUCAAAUCUGAAAUUUUUGAUCCCGCAGUUUUUGUAUUAUGAUAUUUGGUAUAUAUUUUUAAAGAAUGGGUAAUUGGUACCGUAUUCAGUAUUUAUGGAAAAAUUAUUGAAAUACCAAAUUAAAAAAAAGGGCAAUCCGGUGCACUAAAGCUAUCACUAUGCGCGGUGUCCGGGGAAGGACCCCACCACAAGGGUGUAUCGUACGCAGUCUUACCUUACAUUUCUGCCAGAGGCUGUUUCCAAGGCUUGAACCCGUGACCUCCUGGUCACAUGGAAGCAACUUUACCAGUUACUCCAAGGCUCCCCUUCAAUUCAUAUACAUUAUUAAAAUACUAACAAAUAUAAUCUAGCAUUAGUACGUUGUUUGUAAAAUGCUACUUCUCUUUCUAAGCCAAGCCGGCCGGCAGAAAGAGGGUUGCUACUAAGCGGUAGAACAAAACGAUCUCACUUUCAGCAUAGCCAAUUCAAAAAAGGCAAGAGCAACUUAACAGACGUUGAAACUUUGAAUGACACUCUAUCUUAAUUGAAAUGUACUUUUUAUGUAAUUCAUUAACAAAAAGAAAUGAUUGUAAUUUCUUUUCAAUAUCUCUACAUGUAUAAGGUGUUAGUAGAUAUAUUUGAGAUGUUUCUUGAAAAUCAAAGAGUGUUGCUACUAAGCGGUAGAACAAAACGAUCUCACUUUCAGCAUAGCCAAUUCAAAAAAGGCAAGAGCAACUUAACAGACGUUGAAACUUUGAAUGACACUCUAUCUUAAUUGAAAUGUACUUUUUAUGUAAUUCAUUAACAAAAAGAAAUGAUUGUAAUUUCUUUUCAAUAUCUCUACAUGUAUAAGGUGUUAGUAGAUAUAUUUGAGAUGUUUCUUGAAAAUCUGAAAUCAUAAUCCUCUUUUAUAUGAGUAUAUGUAAGCCGAAGACAAAUAAACUGUGAUUACCGACUAACACACCGCAACAUGCUAAAACCGAACUAAAAAAAAUACCAAAUGAUACCAAAUUAAUUUGAUAUGAUAUUGACAUAGUAUUUUUAAAACCAAAAUUGGGCCGAAUUUUUUAAUAUCAUACCAUAGUGUGUCAGUGUAGUCUCCCCUUAAAAUGCAUUCUCUUGGACAAAGCUCUCCCACCUCGAUUGAUCCAAAGAGCCAAAGGCCCCUGGACCCACUUGUUUCAACCUCCUUGUUGCCUGACCCCACCAUCUGGCCUCAUCAGAAUCACCAGCCACCACAAGAUAAUGAAACAAUUUUUCCUACCCAUCAACUCUAAGCCACGUGUCGCUCGUGGAUGCUCUUCCCACUUGGUAGUUGCAUCUGUUAUUUCCCUCCUUCUCCUUCACAUAUCACAGUGCCCCAUAAGUCUACAGCACACCUUCAGUAUUUGCAGUACAGCAGAAAAUAGAAAGCAAUAAGAAAGAAAAAGGUUUAAGUUAAAAUUAGUUCAAUGUUUAAAAAGGAGAAUAGUGGGGAUUUUGAUGGCAGCAGCAACAACUGGGCAAGGAUGUGUGACAGUUGCCAUUCUGCUGCAUCUACUGUUUACUGUUGGGCAGAUUCCGCCUAUUUGUGUACGGGCUGUGACGCCGGCAUACAUGCAGCAAGUCUGGUGGCUUCUCGUCACAAGCGUGUCUGGGUUUGUGAGGCCUUGGAGCAUGCUCCUGCAGCCUUUCUUUGCAAGGCAGAUGCUGCCUCAUUUUGUGCCUCCUGUGACGCUGACAUCCAGUCCGCCAACCCCUUGGCGCAUCUUCAUCACUGUGUCCCAAUUAUGCCCAUUCCAGGUAGCCACCAUUUUUUUCACACAGAACAUAUAUACUCCUACAUUAUAAAAACACCAAAAAUUCAAUAAAUAAGUCUUCUAAACAAUAAUUUCAAAAGAGUAACAUGUUAAAUAAUAAAAACCUUAAAAAUUGAACCCAUCAAACUUAAAUUUUAAAUUUGUCUGUGAUUCCAAUCUCCAGGAACACUUUCUGGUCCUCCAGCUGUUGACACCGUUGGCGGUGGUUCUAUGAUGAUUGGGGGGACCACAGGGGAAUGCACGGAGGAUGAUGGUUUCUUGAGUUUGACUCAAGAUGCAGAUGAUACAACGAUAGAUGAAGAAGAUGAAGAUGAAGCACCUUCAUGGUUGUUGCUUAAUCUUCCUGUUAAGAACAACAACAAGAACAAUGUUAGCAAUACCAACAACAAUCAAAAUAACAACUAUGGGAUGUUGUUUGGUGGGGAAGUAGUCGAUGACUACUUAGAUCUUGCGGAAUAUGGAGGGGACUGUCAAUUUAAUGAUCAGUUCAGUGUUAAUCAGCAGCAACAACAUUACUCUGCUCCUCCGAAGAGUUAUGGUGGAGAUAGCGUUGUGCCAGUUCAGGACGGACAGCGAAAAUCUCUGAUUCUUUAUCACCAACAGCAACAACAACAACAACAACAAAGUCAUCACCUGAAUUUUCAGCUGGGAACAGAGUAUGACAGAUUUAACACUGGAUAUGGUUAUCCUGCUUCUUUGAGUCACAGUGUAUGUUUUCAUCACUUUUUAUCUAUACAUCUCAAUUCAAGCUAUAAGCAUUUUCAAUUUAUGAGUUGUCUUCCUUCUCAAAAAAAAUUUAUGAGCUGUCUUAGAAUCCUCACCUUUUCUGCUUUGCCAUUGGCUUUCUUUGGACAUACUGAUGUUGCUGUCAUUUUAUCUGCUGAUCAUCAAGACAAAAUCCUGUAGUCUAGUCUGUUUUCUUGAAUGGACCAAGGAAAUUUUUAUGGAUCUAAAUUUUGAUGCCUAAUUUUUCAGAUUACUGAUUUCAGUUUUUAUGAACGAUCAACUGUAGUUAUCUUUUAAGUGAUGGUUAAUCAGAGCGAUGACCCCUUUUGUUUUCUUUACCUUGAUGUAUUCUCAGGUUUCCAAUUCGUCAGUAGAUGUCAGUGUUGUCCCAGAAUCUGCACUAAGUGAAACUUCAAACUCCCACCCACGAGUUCCAAAAAAGACCAUUGACCAUUACUCAGGCCCUCCAAUUCAGAUACCUCCCCAGCUUACUCCAAUGGACAGAGAAGCCAUAGUCAUAAGGUACAGAGAGAAGAAAAAGAACCGUAAAUUCGAGAAAACCAUAAGAUAUGCUUCAAGAAAAGCUUAUGCAGAAACAAGACCAAGAAUCAAAGGUCGAUUCGCAAAGAGAACAGACGUAGAGGCUGAAGUAGACCAGAUGUUCUCCACACAAUGACAGACAGCAGUUAUAGAAUCGUCCCUUCAUUCUGAAUGCAACAAAGAGAAGAUAACACAAGUCCCUAAACCUAGUAUUGCUAUUGUGUCUCUUACAUCAUUAUUGAUCCAAGUAGCUAUUGAAUAAUCAGAACAGUAAUAAAUUAGUUUUCCAAAGAGAAUUUAUUAACGUCUCUAUUGUUGUAUAUGCAAAAGAAAGUUCUUCCUUGUAGACCAUGUUGCAGUCAAUACGUACAUUUUUCAGAGGAGAAAGCAAACAAGGACCCCCUCCAAUGUAAAGGGAUUGGUCCAACAAGACAAAAAGUACUAGCUCUGCAAGAAACAAAGAAUUGACUGCAGUAUCAAGGAGUAAGGUUGAAAGGAUGAGAAAUCACCUUUUGGCAACAUUCAGAUACAGGAUGCCUAAAGGGAAAAAAGGAAAAGAAAAGAAGAAUUGACUACAUUUAACUUUUCCACAUUAUAAAGAACUCAAUGCAGCCACAAGUUAUGGUAAAAGCCCUAUUACCAACGACCUUUGGGUGCUCAUUGGCUGUAUUUGACACAGAGUGCUGGAGCAAUAUAAUUGAAGCUCAGUUCUGCUUUCUGCUUUCCACUGUGGUCAUCUUUCAUCAAUAGCUGCUUUGGGUCCAGGGCCUCUCUCUCAAGUCUCAACUAGUGUUUUUCCCAGAUUCUCCUUGUGUACAACGAAAUCCCCAUCACUGAAGAUAACGAAUAAAAGGUCCACCCCUCCAACGAUAGGAAAGCACUGGUUCAAUAUUUUUGCCUAAAAAUGUCAGUCCAUAAGCACCAUGUAAGCAAAAUACUGCUAUGAUCAUCAAAAAUUUUAGUCGUAAUGAAGGAUGUAGGUACAAGAUAUCCCAAAAACCGCUAAAAUACAGCUAUUAAAGAAGAAGCACUUUAGUCAGUUGAGAAAAGAAAAUUAAAGGUGAUAAAAGGGGAAGGAAUUGGGAUAGAUGGAUUAAACUAUUCAAUUAAGCGAACGAAAAUAUCUAACACCAAUCAUCUGUAUUUUGCGUUCACCUUUACUGAAACUUAAAAGUGGAAAGUGCAUCAAGACAAUGAACUACUAAAGUGAUCCUCCAAGCUUGAGAUCUAAAGUGUUCUUUGCUUCAUUAAUUAUUUAUAUAUGAUCAACCAAAAAACAUGGCAGUAUGAAUAUUAUUAGAUGCUGCUCUUGUUCCUGCAACAGAAUGGUGUUGUCAAAAGCCAAAGGGAAGAAGUGUCACCCCAGGCUAUGAUCGGGUUUUAAGUGGAAAGAAUGAUUAAAAAGCACACAUUACUGAAGGAAGAUGGAGAUGAAGAAAUAAAAAUAAAAUAACCACAAAUAAGCCAUUAUAUGGACAAAGGAACUGAGAAAAAAAUUGCAAGUGAAACAUAUAUGAAGAAUAAAACAUUUUAACCAAGUUCAAGAUCAUUUAAAAUCUUUUAGUUCAGUGUAAAGAUACAAAAUUAAGUUUCUAAUUCAAUUUUAUUGACCAAUUGUCCUUGAUAAAGUGUUUUAUUGACUAACUUUGUCCACUAAGUUUCUAACUCCCUGUUUUUAAUCACUAACACUUUUUCCAUAUUGUUUUAUUGACUUUGCUUUAUAUUUAUUCGCUCUUUAACUUCUACCUGUGUGAGCUCGUUCAUAUUGUCGGUCCCAAGAGCGGAUAAAGGAAGGGGGUUUCCUCAACUGGAAACAACUUCUCUACCCUAUGCAAGGUAGGCGAAAGGCUGUGUACAUCUUACCCUCCCCAAACCCCACUUAUGGGAUUACACUGGGUUUGUUGUUGUUGCUUCAUAAUUAUUGUUUAGUGUCACCCUCUUUAAAACAAGACUUACAUGCCUUAUAAAUUACUAAAACUUAUUAAGAAGCAAUUAGUUGACUGUCUUUCUAGGCACACACCUUACCCUUACGCACUGCCUAAGCAGCCAAAGCACCUAGCCUACAAUGCAUCUAGCUUCGAGGUUUAUGCAUGCCAUAUUCGUGCUUUUAACAAUUUCUACACAACCCAACAUCACCCUUGUAUUAACAAGUUACCACAGCUACAUAAAUUGCUCAUCUAUCUUUAGCAAUCCAUAUGAUCCUGUUCAUUGGAUUUCCAAUCACAGUAAACCGUGAGGCAUAGAACGAGGAGGUAUUCCAUGGCCCCAACAGUAUCAGUAAUCAAAACACAAUAUCCUGUUAUCAGUGUUGAGCUGAUACCAGGGACUCAACAUAUGCAACUGAUUGAACAAGAUGCAGAAAAUAAAGCAUAUUGCACUUUUACCUUUUUUGAUGUGAAGUAAUUGAAAAAGUAACAAGGCAAUUUCCAGCUUAUCGUGGAAUAAAAUGAAAGUGGAUCUAAGAACUUUGUGGCUAAGAAAUUUCAUCCAAGAAUGGCUUGGACGUCCACUUUUAGGUCCUUUCUGAUCAUUAAGUACUUUUAGUAUCCUAUUCUGUGCUGCUAUUUGUUGAACAGAGGAACUUUUAUCCACCUCACAACCCACUAGCAAAGGAAAAGAAUACUCAUCAAUGUGUCACUACCAAUAUUAUUCACGCCCAGAAUAAUGGACAAAUAACUCAGAUUGUUUGAGAUAUUCGUCAUCCAGACAACAGGAUAUUCAAGGUGCUCUACUAUCUUAUACUUCCUUUUAAAUAAUGUCCAAUUACUUUUCAGGACUUCAACAAAGAUGUAUCAUUUUUCAAGUAUCAAUUGACUCUCAAAGGACUUGGAGGCUAAUCUAAAUCAGCAUUUAAAAGAAUAUAUUUUUUUAAGAGAAAAAUGUAGCACUUUCUACUUUUGUGGAGGUAGAGUCCUGAUAAAAAGUGAAAAAAGUAGGUUCCACUUAAGUCACCUGAGCACAGCUAAGCCUUUCAAGUUUUGGUCCCUCAGAUUCCGAGGGGACUUUAGCUAUCUAUUUCUGCUCUGCUAUUUGCUGAGCCUCAGCACUUUCUCCACCACUUAUAAACGCCAUGCAAUCCACCAUGAAGCAAUUCUUGUGAUUCUAUGGUUAUAACAUUACCAGUUUUUGGGCACGUUUGUUGCGCGUGAAUCUCAUAUCAAUGAGAACUAAUCUUUUCAAAACCAACAAAUUUUAUUAAUAUAUAAAAGAGGUGUUUCAUUAUAAAUGAAGCCUUAAGAAGGAGAACACUAUUGGUUUUAAGCCCAUCAUUUUUGAGAGAGGAUCAAACGAUCUACAGUUUCGUACUCAAAAUAAAAAGGAAAACGCAUCUUUAAGGUUUAAGUUCUUUCAUUACUUUCGUUAAACAAAAUUCCAUACUUGGUAUAAAUUUAUUUCAGCUAGCAAAUUUUACUCUUUUAAAUAUAUCUAAGUUAUUUCAAUUCCCUAAAAUGAUAUCCCCUGCAAAUUUAUUUGCAUCAGAACUUUUAAUUAACUUAAGGGAAUAUUUAGUGAAAAUUAACAAAAAUAUUUUCAUAAUAGUGUUCCUAUGUUCUAUAGGCACAUCCAUCUUUGGAGUUGGAGAAAAUGUUGAAACUGGAUUUCUUAAACUUUUAAGAUGAGAAUGUAAGAAAAGUGAAUUAGAGGUAAGAGACUUGAGUAAAGGAGACCAAUUUCUGUACUAAACUAAUCUUAUAAAAACUCUUUUCCUACACAUUUCUAUUUCGAGUCUUUGUUAGACUUAUUUAGGGCAAAAGAUCUAUUAAAAAAUCAUUGAGCCUUUUUAUAGUAAUAGCUCUUCAUAUCUCAUUUGCUUUUCUUCUUUUAUUACUCACAGUAAAUAUCGUACUAAUAAACUAUUGUAUGCAUGUAAAAAAAAAGCACAUAUAUUAUUCCGCAUUUGAGUUCAUACAUUGAGGAAAUGGAAGAGUUAACUCAGCAGCCUUAAUCACAGAUGUGAAUAUUUUUUUCUUUUUUGUUUACAUACCAUGAAUGUGCGGUAACUUUUAUCAGCUACUUACAUUGUAUAUUUACGUUUUUGUACAAUAAUGUUAAGAAAAUAGCGUUUCACGUAAGGGUAGAAAAAGCCAUUCAACAUUUGAUGGACAUUCUAGUUUUUCAGUUUUUCUUUUUGGCUGUUCCCACUUUUAGUAUAGUAUGAUUAAAGAAACGAAACAUUUUUCAGUGAUUUUCUAAUUAAAUGUGAAAAUAACAAACUUCAUUACUUGUUGAUUACACAAAUAUGUCCAGACACCCACAUGAUGAUGCCAGACUGCGUAGCUUGAUUAAGCCACCAGGUACCGACUACCUCCGAUCAAUACAAGUAUCGAAUAAUUCUGUCCACUGAAAAUUAGGCAAAUGCGAAAAAUUUUAGCAGUGUCACCUUUAUUGGGAUUUGCACCUUGGUAUCCAAGGUUGUUAUUCUAACUCCUUGACUGCUAAGGAACACAAGCAAAUCAUAUUGACUAGAGAUAAUUUUACUGGUCAUUAUUUUUCAUAAACUGUGAAUGAAAGAAGUACACACAUUGGCGCAGGCAAGAUUUCAACAAAGAAUGCAUUUGGAGGCUAAUCCAGAUCAAUAAUUUAAAGCAUAUAGUUUAAAAGACAAUGUAGAGAUUUCUAAAUUUUGUGGAUGAAAAGGCCUACCAUAAAGGUGAAAAGAGAAGAUUCUAUCUUAGCAAGAACAUUGAAGCUGUGGACCAGUGGAUUCUCUUCCCACGUGGUAGUUGCAUACUGUUAUUUUCCCUCCUUCACAUUUCAUAGUGCCCCAUAAGUUUACAGCAUACCUGCUCAAAUCCGGUACUCAAAGUACAACAGAAAAUAGAGAACAAGAAGAAAAAGAAACAAAUCAAAACUAGUUCAAUGUUGAAAAAGGAGAAAAGUGGAGGUUUUGAUGGCAGCAGCAACAACUGGGCAAGGAUGUGUGACAGUUGCCACUUUGCUGCAUGUACCGUUUACUGCCAGGCAGAUUCCACCUAUUUGUGUGUGGGCUGUGACGCCCGCAUACAUGCAGCAGGUCUGGAGGCUUCUCGUCACGAGCGAGUGUGGGUUUGCGAGGCCUGCGAGUGUGCUCCAGCAGCCUUUCUUUGCAAGGCGGAUGCUGCCUCACUCUGUGCCUCCUGCGACGCUGACAUCCAUUCUGCCAACCCCUUGGCACGCCGUCACCACCGUGUCCCGAUUAUGCCCAUUCCAGGUAGCCACCAUUUGUAUUUACAAGAAGAACAUAAAUUAGUCCUACAUGUACAAAAAACUAACAAUUGUUUCAAUAAAUGUCUUCUGAACCAUAAUUUCAAAAAUGUAAAGUAGCAAGAACCUUAAAGAUUGAAUCAUCAAAAUCAAAUUCUAAAAUUCGUCUCGCUUCCAAUUUCCAGGAACCCUUUAUGGUCCUCCAGCUGUUGACAUCGUUGGUGAUGAUUCAAUGAUAAUUGGUGAGCCCAGAGGGGACAGCACGGAGAAUUAUGGGUUCUUGCGUUUGACUAAAGAUGAAGAUGAUAUGACUAUAGAUGAAGAAGAUGAAGAUGAAGCAGCUUCAUGGUUGUUGCUGAAUCCUCCUGUUACAAACAACAAUAAGAACAAUGUUAACAAUAACAUCAACAAUCAAAAUAACAACUGUAGGAUGUUGUUUGGUGGGGAAGUAGUGGAUGACUACUUGGAUCUUGCUGAGUAUGGCGGGGAUAAUCAAUUUAACGAUCAGUACAGUGUUAAUCAGCAGCAGCAACUUUACUCAGUUCCUCAGAAGAGUUAUGGUGGAGAUAGCGUUGUGCCAGUUCAGGAUGGACAGGGAAAAUCUCUGAUUAUCUACCACCAACAGCAACAACAACAAAGUCACCACCUAAAUUUUCAGCUAGGAGUGGAGUAUGACAACUCUAACACUGGAUAUGGUUACCCUGCUUCUAUGAGUCACAGUGUAAGUUUUAUCAUCUGUAUCCAUAUAUCUCACUUCAGGCAACAUGCACUUUAACUAAAUUCAUGGACCAAGGAAAUUUUUGUGUAUCUAAAUUUUUAUGCCUCACUUUUCAGAUUACUGAUUUCACUUUUUAUGGGCGAUUAACUGUAGUUAUCUUUUAACUGAUGGUUUAUCGGAGCGAUGACCACUUCUGUUUUCUUUAUCUUGAUGUAUUCUCAGGUUUCCAUUUCGUCGAUGGAUGUAAGUGUUGUCCCAGAAUCUGCACUAAGUGAAAAUUCAAACUCCCACCCACGACCUCCAAAAGAGUCCAUUGACCUUUACUCAGGCCAUCCAAUUCAGAUACCUCCCCAUCUUGCUCAAAUGGACAGAGAAGCCAGAGUCCUAAGGUACAAAGAGAAGAAGAAGAACCGUAAAUUCGAGAAAACCAUAAGGUAUGCUUCAAGAAAAGUCUAUGCAGAAACAAGGCCAAGAAUCAAAGGCCGGUUUGCAAGAAGAACAGACAUAGAGGCUGAAGUAUACCAGAUGCUCUCCACACAAUUAAUGACAGAUAGCAGUUAUGGAAUUGUCCCUUCAUAACAAUGAAAAGAUCAACUACAAGUCCUUAAACCUAGUAUUACUACUGUAUCUUACAUCAUUAUCAAUCGAACUAGCUAUUGAAUAAUGAGAAUGUACUAAAGUAGUUUUCCACAGAGGAGAUGUUAAAUUCUCUGCAUUGUUGUAUAUGUAAAAAAGGAGUUCUUCCUUGUAGACUACAUUGCACUCAAUACAUACAAUUUUCCUGAGGAAAAAGAAAACAAAAAGGCCAUCGGUGUAAAGGGAUUGACCACAAGACAAAAGUAGUAGUUCUGCAAGAAGCUAAAAAUUGACUGCAAUAUCAAGGAGCAUGGUGAAAUGAAUGAGAAAUCUGCAUCCUUAACCAAAGGUCUGGGGGGCUAAUUGAAACCUUUUGGUACGGAGUGUUCGCCUUCUUAGUGGACCUAUCCGACAAAAAUAUAGAUACUAGAUGCCUAAAGGGAAAAAGAAAAAAGAAAAGAAGAAUUGACUGCAGUUAACCUUUUCACAUUAAAAAAGAACUCAAUGCAGCCACAAGUAAUGGGAAAUGCACUAGUACCAACGACCACUGGAUGCUCAGUGGCUGUAUAUAACAACAUGUCACAACAACAACAACAACAACAAACCCAGUGUAUUCCCACCUAGUGGGGUCUGGGGGGGUAAGACGUACGCAGUCCAUACCUCUACUUCUGAUGAAGUAGAAAGGCUGUUUCCAAUAGACCCCCGGCACAAGGCACGUGAUACCACACAAACACAUAGUAAAGCACAGAAGCAGAUUACAUAACAUAAAUAAGGCACCCAUAAGUAAUAUAAAACAGAGGAAAGCAGAGGAAAGCACACAGAUCCGUAAUAAAACAUGGAACACGGAACACGGAAUCAUAACAACAUGUGCUGGUGCAAUAUAAUUGAAGCUCAAUUUUGCUUUCUGCUUUCCACUGUGGUCAUCUUUUUGUUGGAACAUACUCUUUUUGAAUGACACAUAAUGUUCAUCAAUAGCUGCUUUUGGUCCAGGGCCUCUCUCUCAACUAGUAUUUGUACCAGAUUCUCCUUCAGUACAAUGAAUGUCCCAUCACUGAAGAUAAGGAAUAAAAGGUCCACUUC